UGUACUUGUAGAUUUUCGUUAGGAAAAGUAAAGAGAAAUUGAAGAGUAUUAUCCCAAGGCGUGUAUGUAUUCAGAAUCUUGCCCUCUGCUUCCCCAUCUCUUGUUUCCUUCAUCUGUAUGGAACUGGGAAUUGUAGGUAUAAUGAGAUUUCUCUCCAUUUCAUUUAAUUUCACCCCAACCAAACUAGUGUUUUACUCAAAGAGGAUUGGAUACACCUCUUAAAUGGUGUGUCCGUGUUGGACACAUGUAUCAAAUACCGACAUUCGUACGACACGCAUCGGUGGAGUGUCCAAUUCAGAAAAUAUUUAUUGAAUUUUUGACAAUUCUAGCAUGUUUUAACACAAUUUUAAAAAUGAGAAACAUUAAUUUUCUAAAAAUCCAAACUUAUUGCAUAAAUUUUUAAUAUAAUUAUAAAAUUAAGGAACAAAUUUUUUGAACUAUUUAUGCAUCUUUCUACUAUAAAAAAAAUUAAAAUAUACUUGUGCACAUAAAUUUUUAUUGUUAAUUUAUAUAAUUUAUAAUUAUAUAAUAUAUAGAUCUGUAUUUCCGUGUCCUACAUUUUAACUUAGAAAUUAUAUGUAUUUUUGUGAUGAUAUUCGUGUAUAUGCUACAUAUGUUUUACUAUUAUAAUGUAGCUUUCUUUUUAUGACCUAAAUUUUAUGGUAUUUAUCCCUCAUUUCUUAUUAUGCCAAGCCUAUCUCUAUCUGUGCAUAGAUAUAGGGAAGAUGUUACAUUUGUUUCUAUUGACAAUAACUCUAAAUCCUUCAAUUAUUCUUUUUAAUGUCUAUUUUUAAUUUGUUUUAUAUUUUUAAAACAUUAUAUAUACGUGUAUAUUACUUCAUUUAACAUUUUCUUUAUAAAAAAAGUAAAUAGGUUAUACAUGGAUUAAGAGGAAUAUAUAAUAUUAAUAUUCUAUUAAAUAACAAAUGGUUUUAAAUCUAAGCACUAUUUUCUUCUAUUAAUUCUUACUUUCUUUUCUAUGAUAAGCAAGUACUUAUUUUGCUUUCAAAAUAUUAAGAAAAAAAAUUAUGAUGGACAGUAUAAAGUGUUAUCACAUUGUUAUUCGAAUAAAAUUCCAUACAUGUUUGUUAUUUUUUAUAAUAACUAUCUUAAAAGUAAUAUCGAAUAGAUUGACAUUUACACUGAUAAUGUGUAUUUAUUAAACAUAAAUAUUAGAUAAAUUCACUUUUUUAUAUAAUAUUUUCAUUAUAAAAUAUUAGAAAGAUUUUGUAAAAUAACUUACUAGACUAGAUAAAAGGAAGAAGAAACACAAAACUCGAGAGGGGAAGCAUGGCUUUUAAAAUUAAAUAGGGUUUUGCAAAAGAAUAUUAAAAUGGACUUAUUAAAAUCAUCGAAUUUAAUUUAAACGUGUCUCUAAAUUAAUUUCAUCCACAAGUAUAUAUAUUAUUAUUAUUCGUAAGAAUUAAACACAAAUACUAAAAGAUGUACAGUAAUUUACCCACACUGUUGAACUAGCCUCUUUAAUAAGUUUUACAUUGAAAUGUAUUUUACAAAGUGUGUACCAAAGUGAGUAAACAUGUAAAACAAAACAUCAAGGUUAUAUUUAGUGUUCAUUUAAAUAAAAAAGUUUCCCAAUUUUAAUUAACUUAAAAUAAUUUUCUUAUAGAAACAAAAAUUAAAAAAAGAAAAUGAGAAAGUUUUUUUAUAUAGGACAAGACAUUAUUUAAGUUUUUUUUUAUAUAAAAAAAAAAUUGUUCGCAUUCGAGAGGUACCAAUAGAACCGCACCUCAGAAGGACGACGCAUGAAGAAAGAGUAAAGCGCAUAUUAAACUGAGUCUGGCACAAACACGAUGCAAGCAAAUCAUGGGCAAUUCUUAGGUCGUUAAAUCUCGUUUCCCGUUUCAAUUUCCCUCUUUCCCUCUCGCAACCUUGUGACGUCUCAUCUUCCAUAAUGUUCCACAACCACAACCACAACAACAGUGUCUCGAUCUCCUUGUCGGACGAGGAAUCCGACGAGCUGGGUCGGAUGCGGAUCCGCGCGCGACGGAAGCGCAAGAAACUCGGCAACAGAAGAUUGCUGCGGAAGCUACUCCUCAGAUACUGGAUGCUGCUCGUCAUUGUUCCCGCUGCGGGAUUGCUCAUAUUCGAGGCCACCAGAAUUGGGCGAAGCUUGAAUAGUUUAAACACGAACAGCCACACUGAAACACACACUGACAGAGCUAAUGGAUCUAGUACCACACCGCGGAAGGAACCCCCCGCCAAUUUGAAUCGCCUCGAUCCUACCACGCAUGUUGUUGGUGGCGUCAGAGAACGUAAGUACCUUUUUUCUCUCUCUGUUUUCAGAUUAGUAAUGAUUAGCGUGAGGUUCGUUAUGUGUGGUUAGCUUUUGUGUAGAGUGAAGGUAUACAAUUGUCGUUUAAACUUCUGCCACUUAUGGGUAAUAGUUUCAUGAGGUUGUUGAAAAAUUCCUAGUGGUGUGCGAUUGACUUUGUCUAAUGAGUGGUUAAAGAGGAAAUGGAUGUGUAUACAACUAUGAAGCUCGGAUUUUUGACAAUUCUAGGAGAACACAAUUUUAAAAAGAAGAAAUACUAUUGUAUAAAAUUUUAUUAUGAUUAUAAAAAUAAGUAACAAAUCCUUUUGAACUAGCCAUAUUUCUUAUGCUAAAAAAAACCUAAACCUAAAACAUACUUGUGCACAUCAAUAGUUAUGGUUAAUUUAUAUAAUUCAUUAUAUAAUAUAUAGAUUUGUGUCCCCUGUCCUGCAUAGAGAUUAUACGUAUUUCCGUGUCUGUGUCGUAUCAAUGCCCGUGUCAGUGUCGUAUCAGUGCUCGUGUCAGUGUCUAUGCUACAUAUGGUUAAAGAGGAAAUGGUUGUGUAUACAAUAGAAAUAUCUGACACUUGUGAUAAAUAUAUUUUAUUGCAAGUGGUUAGCAUGUCAUCAGGGUUAUUGAAAUGUUUCACGGUGACAAGUUUUGCAUAAGUGGUUAAGAGUAAAUGAUUGUGUAUGUUUAUCAACAUCUACUUGUGGCACUAAUGAUUAAAUAUGCCUUCGCUAAUGGUUGAUACUUAAUUGUGUUGCGUGCAUUGAAAUGUUGUAGUUAAGUGUCUCUUGAAAGUGGAUAAUUCUCAGUUGAGAUGUUAAUCUUUUUCAUUUCAAGAUGCAUAGAAUGAGGUGUUGAUGUGUGAUUUGAUCCCUAUCAGGUUGCUUGAAGCUCCUACCUCCUGAAAAGUUUGAGCAGCUGGAUAUACCUGUAGAAGAAGAAUCUUCUAGUGUUCCUGUUGGUGAAGUUUUAUACAUUUCAGAGAGUGAUAGGCCUUUUGUAGGAGGGAAUAUUACGUUGUCUCAUUUGCGUACAGAGGACACACGGUUUAAUUUAUUUACUGGAAAUCAAACAUUUCAGCAGAGAGAUAGAUCUUUUGAGGUAAUGAGUUGGUUUUGGUUCUCAUUUUUAGCCACUUUUCUUUUUGCCUGGCGGUAGUUAUAUGUUUACUCUAGCCUUUGUUUCUUCGUGUAGGUGAAAGAAACUAUGCUGGUACAUUGUGGGUUUUACAGUGUGAAUGGAGGGUUUAAGAUAUCUGAUCAAGAUAAAACUUACAUGCAAGGUUGCAAAGUCGUGGUAUCUACUUGUGCAUUUGGUGGUGGAGACGAUCUCUAUCAGCCAAUUGGAAUGUCCGAGGCUUCGCUUAAGAAGGUUAUUUAAGCAGUAUAAGAGUUUGUCAUCGAUACAUAGUAGAAGUCGCUGAUCUUAUUUGCCAAAUCUAUUUAGUGGUAUGCAGGUUUGCUAUGUUGCAUUCUGGGAUGAAAUCACCGUCAAAGCGCAGGAGUUGGUAGAGCGCAGAAUUGGGGAAAAUGGAUUUAUUGGAAAGUGGCGUGUUGUUGUUGUUCGAGAUCUUCCUUUUUCCGAUCAAAGGUUGAAUGGUAAAAUUCCCAAGGUAGUAAAUCUUUGAAGCCUGGUGUCUUCUUUUUUAUGCCAUUUCCUAUGUCUUUAUAGCAGUGCAUAAUUAACAUGUGGCUGCACUCAGUUUUGUGUCCUGCCCCUUUUGAAGAUAUUUUUUUUUUCAUGUAAAUGCAUGCUCAUAAUGGUUGUUGUCCUUCAUUAACUUCAUCAAUUGACACAUGCCUUUACCAGAUCAAUGAAAAUUUGGUGUUUAAUUGAGUUCAAAGGCGUUGCAUAAUCUAUGCAUCUGACCUCACUUAAUGACACAAGACUUUUGUUAUUGUUGUAUAUGCCUAGCAUGAUGUGUUAUUCUCAAUUAUUCUUUAAUUUGGGGUAUCAUUCUCUGAUAAAGCUUUCCUUUGUUCACUUUUUAAACCAUGUGUGCACUUGGAACUCUUUCAGAUGUUAAGCCAUCGCCUUUUUCCUCAAUCUAAAUACUCAAUUUGGGUAGACUCCAAGUCUCAAUUCCGGAGAGACCCACUAGGUGUGUUGGAAGCACUUCUUUGGCGCACAAAAUCUUUGCUUGCCAUAUCAGAACAUGGAGCUCGCAGUAGUGUCUAUGAUGAGGCUAAGGCUGUUGUCAAGAAGAACAAAGCCAAGCCAGAGGAAGUUGAAGUGCAACUGACUCAAUACAGAAAAGAUGGCUUGCCUGAAGACAAGAGAUUUAGUGGAAAAAAAGGUAUGCACUGAUCAUAUUUUUAUUAGCUAAAAGUAAAGUAAUUUUAAUACUUUUCUUCUUUUCCUCAAUAAAAAAAAUCCAUGUUCUAUUUCAUUUAAGAUCUUGCUAUAUGUCAAAUUGUCUAUAGAUUUCAAUCCUCUCAUUCAUUCUGUUGCCAAACUUUGGCUUACAUUGGUUUGUAUCUCCACAUUUCCCAUAUAUUUUGUAAAAUGUUCCAUUAAACUUGUGAUGUGCAGCUCUCUGUGAAGCCUCUGUUAUCGUCAGGAAGCAUACACCCCUAACUAAUCUAUUGAUGUGCGUCUGGUUUAAUGAGGUGGUUCGCUUCACUUCUAGGGAUCAGCUCAGCUUCCCAUAUGUUCUGUGGAGACUGAAAGCAUUCAAAAACAUCAAUACUUUUCCUGUUUGUGCUCGCAAGGAUCUUGUCAAUAGUAUGGGCCAUGUCCGCAAGGCCAAACCUUUGCGAAGCUGAUUUAGUUAAACUGGUUGAAAGCAAUGCCUACCUACAUUUAUCCAAUUCAUUCCUUAUUUCAGUAGUUUCUUUAGCCAAUCUGAAUCAGGUAUGUGUUGUUUUUCUAACUUCAUCCCCUCUUCUCUCAUGGUCAGUGAAUGAUUAUAAUUUGUAUUCAUUUGCUUAUUGUGAGCUCUUUGAUUAGGUUACUUCAGAAAGAAUCUAGUUGAUCGAAAGAGAAAUCAAACAAAGAAGAGAUUUUGCUUUGGACCUGUUUCCCAACACAAACUUCUAUAGUAACAAUGUUUUCAUGAACUGUGAGAUUCCUGUGUCUGUUAUUUAGUUAGAAUGAAUAAAUGCAGCCCUAUGUGGUUGGUGGCAUAGAUAUUUUGUCAGACAUGUAGCAAUUAUUCCUGGAGAGUCUAUUGAUGGCAAUGAUCAUGUAAGGCAUACAAUGAAAUAGUUAACCAGAGCAGAACUUCGAACCACUGAUGAUGCAACAGAUACCUAUUCAGCUUGAUGAUGCAUUGUGUUGCCACACCUCUGAAACACAUCAGAAAGCAUAGAAAAAAAAAAUCCUGAUAUAGAACAGUUACAUGAUGAGAGGGUUCCAUUUCAAGAUUGUGUUGGGUAGUUUUUUAGGAAUUUUAGUUUCAAUGUUUAAGUAUAUAACAAAAUAAUAAAAUGCUAAAUAUGUUAUUUUUGAAAAAAAAGAGUAAAGUAGCAUCUAAAAAUGGAGUAACAUCUAAAAGUUUUCCUUUUAUCAUAUGUUUAAAAUAAAGUUACACUUUCGCCCUACAUAUAAGAUUAAUAGCUUAAUAUUAAUCUUAAGUUUUAAUAUUACAAUUAAAGAUAAUAGAAAAUAAUGUAUUAUAUUAAUAUUGAUAGUAAAUUUGACAAGGUUCAAGAAUUUUAGAAUAUGUAAAGAUAAUCAUGAUAUAACACAACUUAUAUUUAAAACUAAAUAUGUAUAUAUGAUAUUCCUAUGUAUCGUUUUUGUUCACAUGUGGGUUUUGGUCUAGUCCUUUCAUAUUUUUGUAUUUUUUUUUUAAUAAUACUUUUAUCAUGUGACGGCAGAUGAUUGUUGUUACUUGAAGUGUCAGUCUAGCUGAGAUGUCAAGUUGCAUAAUAAUAUCUAACAUGAAAACUUUUAUAAAAAAAAAUUUAUAUAUAUGAUAUUGUUUUUUAAGUUAAGGAUUGAGAUAUAACACUUGUAAUAUAUUAUAUUAUAGAAUAAUUUGCAUUACUAUGUUUGUAAAUUUGAGUGAAUGCAAGUAAUGAUGUAAUAUAUUUUUAAAUAAAUAAAUAGCUAAAUUUUUAGACAGGUAACAGAACUUCAUUCUACUAAAAAUAAAUAAAAAAAUUCCAUGAGAUAAAUAUUUUACAAACUCAUAAUAAAAAAAUAUUUGUAUACGUAAUUAUAUUUAAAAUUCGUAACUAAUAAUUUAUACAUUAGGAUAUAACGUUAUUUUUAAAAUAAAAGAAUGCUCAAUUAAAACAAUAAAAUAUGCAUCGGAUAUUUUUUUAAUUAUAGGAUUGAGAUAAUACUUGAAAUACAUCUUAAAAAAUAUUCAAGAAUAUAGUUAGUGUGUACUCUGAUUUUAUGUUUGAGAAUUAAUUUUUAGAGAAAAUUUACCAUGUUUUCCUAGAGAUUUUAAAAUAUUUUAUAGUAAAAUAUCUAAGAAGAUUUAGGAAAAAGAUUUAAAUCAUAAAAAUAUAUAUGAAUGUUUUGGUUAUGUGAAACAGUAAAAUUUGAAGUUUUCAAAAUAAAAUAAGAAUUUACAGAUUUUCUAUAAACUGUAUAUUAAAAAAGAUGCUAUUAAUUGAAAUGCAAUGAAAAAAAUAAAAAAUAAAACACUAAUAAUAAAUAUGAACGACACUGUUAAAAAUAUGAAAAACCUAAUAAUAUAAUUUUUAGAAAACCAAAAUAAUAUUACUAGAAUAAUAAUAACAUAUUACUCUAAAUAUGAAAUAGCAAUAAAAGGUCAUAUUCUAAAAAAAAAUAACAAAAGUGUCUCAUUAUAAUAAAAUUAAUAAUAUGAAAAAUAAUUUUAAAAAGAUUAAUUAAGAAAUUAAAUUGAUAAGAUAAAUAAAAAAAUAUUUAUUUAAAUAAAAAAUACAUUAAAAUUUUAUCUAAUGUGUUAAAUAUAAAAUGUUAGACUUUAAUUCAAAUUAAGAUUAAAAUAAUAUUUAAAUUUUUAUUAUUUUGAAUACAAAAAUUAAUGAAUUAUGUCUUAAAAAAUGAAAAAGAUUUAUAAUAAGUUGUUAAAAUUCAUAAAAUAAUAACUAGAUAAAAAAAGAUAAGUAUCUGCGAGUUUUAAAAUUUUAAUUUCACCAUAACCGUCCAAUUUUCCACCCACCGCUUAAUCUCAGCCGACAAUCUUGACUUUCCCUCUAUAUAUACGGCAUUUCGCCAAAAAAAUUUCAUUCGUUCUCUUUGGUGUUGUGGUCUCUGUUAUUUUGGUAUAUGGAUUUUGCCUUAGUUUUGUUUGUAUUGCGCGGGUGAUUCGGUUUUGUUGGUAUUGUUUUGGUGAUUGUUGUGCUUCUUUCUUACCAGUUUCCUUCUUGAUCAAGUUUGUCUAGGGUUUUGGCGAAUUAUAUGAUGUUUGCGAUGGAUUGGUGUGGUUUUCUUGGAUUUUCGGAUUGCUAAUUCAGAAUAACCUAAUUUCUUUUCCAAUUUCCUUUCUAUUAUUUAGCUUCUCUGGUAUUGAUGACCGAUUAUUUUCUUAUGCGUUUAUUCGUGACUGGCUAUUUGAUGUCGGAGACUUAUCAAUUUGGUGUGUUAUUUGUGUUUAUUCCUAUUUGGUGUGUUUAUCCUGAUUUCUCGAUGAGUUUCCUUUCUAUUACGUAAUUUCUCUUGAUUUGAUCACCAAACGUCGGAUUGAAUUUUCAAUUGUUUCUCUACGCAGCGUUGUUUGGAUUAUUUCCGUUUAGUGUUAUCAGCAUCUCAUGGAGCAUGUUAUGAGCGACCGUGUCUCCCUUGGUUUUUUUAAUUCUUAAAUUGAUCUAAUUUUUUAUAAACUGUGUCCUCUAUUACCAGUUAUAGUAUUACCAGUUAUAGUUUUCUUGAAUUCUUGUUCUUUGCAGAGAUGUGAGAGAUGUGUGGGUUAGGAUGUGCAAAACAGUGGCGGGAGAUUCCUUGAACAGUGAAGCAUUAGUUGUUCUUUUUACUCUUACAUUAAUUUUUUCUUUUGCAUUAAUUCUUGAUUGGAUGAACUUUCGGGUUUAUUUUUAUUUUUUUCUUCUUAGGCAUAACCAAAUUUAUAAUGGAAGGCCAAAGAAUCUCCAAUUUUAGGAGAUGAUCAUGACCACUGGAUGGAAUAAUGACAUUUGUUCUUUUAGCAGUUUCUACUAUGGUGAUCUUUAGGGAUAAAUUGAAAAGGGUAACAAGUAUAAGUAAAUUUAUUUUUUUCUUUGAUUACACAUUUGUUGGUUUCUUGACAUUUUGUGAACCCUUUUUUCUUGCAGUGUGAUUGGAGUAGUUUUGGGUCGGUAUUCUAUUUGAACUGGAUUUUGUAUUCUCAAAUUUGCUUUGUGUUUCCACUUCUCGUCGGUCUAGUAUGUUAUUCCCACCGCUUCAUACCAAGCUCUAACUUUAUGCCUGGUGUUCUGUUGAUAUUUCCAUAUCAGGAAUGGUUUGGAUAUGUUUUGAGUACUACGAUCUUCAAUGUGCUGGGGAUUAAACGUGAAAUGGCAACUGCACAAAAUAACAUAAUUUCUUGAAAUGUUUCCUCUACUAUUAUUUAACUUCGCUGGUAUUGAUAACCGAACAUUUGGAUUGAAUUGUGAUUUCUUUCGAUGCAGCAGGUUUGUCUUAAUCGAGCCUUCUGCGAAUACGUCUGCAUUGGUUUUUGUAUUCUUGAAUUUAUUAAUUCAUUUUAUCUUUUCUUAAAUUCUUGGUCUUUACGUGCAAGACAAGCAAUGGAUGUGGAAACUUUAGAAGGAGAUCCUAUGAAGCUUUAGGUUUUAUUACCCUUACAUCUUCUGAUGCGUUUAUAUUUACAUUGACGGAUAUCCAUUUGAAUUUGAAUACAGUUCUUCAUUUGAUUACGUCUAGGUGUUGAACUGUUUAUGUGUAGGUGUUGAACUGUUUAUGUUCAUUCCUUUCUUGCUUGUCGAGAAUCUAAGAUUGGUGGAGGAUUAAAAUCCCGCAGUGUUUACAUCGACCAACGAUUCAGGAUUACCUGAGUUCUUUUGAGUUUUCUUCUAUUUUUGACUUUCGGGAUUUUAUAACCUAAUAUGAUCACUCCUAAUUGUUUUCUUGAAUUGUUCGGCCUUACUGGGAACACAAUCGUGACUGACUUGUGAGCUAGGAUGUGGAAACUUUAGCCAGGGAAUCUGUGAAGCUUUAGGUUUUGCUUUCUUUUCUAUUAUCAUUUAUUGUUUAUGAAUAUCAGACUCUAACAAUAAAAAGUCACCUUAAUUGUCAGAUUUGCUCUUCUUUCUCUUUGAAAUGUCCUCUUGUAUGAGACUUCAUUUGCUGGAUGAGCAUUUAUAAAUUUAAAUGCUUGAUUUUUGCUCAAUCUUAAUCCCUUGCUGAUUUUAAACAGAACUGCUUUCAGAAUAAGAAUUGUUUGAGCGCUAUCAUCUACAUUGAAACGACAACUGCUCAAGAUAACUUUAAUUUCUUCUACUAUUUAACUUCGCUGGACUUGAUCAACGAACAUUAGGAUUGAAUUGUGAUUUGUUUCUCUGCAGAAGUGUUUAUAUUAGAUUCGUGCAGUGUACCUGCAUCUUAUAUAGUCUCUCGGAUCCUGUGGAGCUUUAGGUUUUGUUACCCACACAUUUCCUAAUGUGUUUUAUUUCUGGCAUUUGAUCACCUGACAUAAGGAUUUAACUGCCAUUUGUUUCUUCAGAGGUGUUUCGGUAUCUUUCGUUUCUACAUUUCGUUGGUCUAGCAUCAGUAUAUUUCUCCAGUAGUUCUGCUUGGCCUAGCAUCAAUAUUUCACCAAUAGUUCUGCUUGAUUUGGGUCGCUCUCAUUGAACUGAAGUCCAUCAAAUAUAAAAUGUUAGACAUUGAGUUCAAAUUAAGAUUAGCAUAUCAUGGAGCAUGUUAUGAGCGAUCUUGUCUGCCUUGUUUUUUUAAUUCUUAAAUUUAUAUAAUUUGUUCUAAACUUAGUCCUCUAUUACCAGUUAUAGUUUUCUUGAAUUCUUGUUCUUUGUAGAGAUGUGUGGGAUAGGAUGUGCAAAACAGUGGCAGGAGAUUCCUUUAACAAUGAAACAUUAGUAGUUCUUUUUACUCUUACAUUACUUUUUUUUUCUGUUGCAUUAAUUCUUGAUUGGAUGAACUUCUCGGUUUUAUUUUUAUUUUUUUCUUCUUAGGCAUAACCAAAUUUAUAAUGGAAGACCAAAGAAUAUCCAAUUUUAGCAGAUGAUCAUGACCACUGGAUGACAUUUGUUCUUGUAUCAGUUUGCUCUAUGGUGAUCUUUAGGGUAUCAAUAAAUUGAAAAGGGUAACAAGUAUAGGUAAAUUUAAGAUUGUUUUUAUUACGCAUUUUGUUGGUUUCUUUAAGGUUUUUGUGAACCUUUUUUUCUUGCAGUGUUCGUUCGACUAGUUUUGGGUCUGUACUCUAUUUUAGAAUGGAUUUUGGUGAUCUUUAGGGUAUGAAUACUUGUUAACGGUAACAAGUAUAGGUAAAUAUAAGAUUUUUUUUAUUAUGCAUUUGUUGGUUUCUUCUUGACAAUUUUGUGAACCAUUUUUUCUUGCAGUGUUCGUUCGACUAGUUUUGGGUCGGUAUUCUAUUUUAGAAUGGAUUUUGGUGAUCUUUAGGUAUGAAUAAAUUGAAAAGGGUAACAAAUGUAGGUAAAUUAACGAUUUUUUUUUAUUACGCAUAUUGUUGGUUUCUUGACGAUUUUGUGAACCUUUUUUUCUUGCAGUGUUCGGUCGACUAGUUUUGGGUCAGUAUUCUAUUUUAGACUGGAUUUUGUAUGCUCAAAUUUGCUUUCUGUUUCCACUUUUCCUCGGUCUAGUAUGUUCUUCCCUCCCCUUCAGUGAGUGUGUGGUUGGUUGUUGAUGCAGUAGGUGUCUUCUUACAUGAUUUGGUGAUCUCCACUAUUUAUCCUGAAUCUUGGAUUUUAAUUUGUACUACACACUGACCUCUAUCUUAUUGCUGGUUAUAUUUCUCAAUUUUAAUCCCUUGAUGAUUUGUUCAGUCUCAAAAAAAGCUCUAUAUUAGGUAAAUUUUAUGCCCGGUUCUAUUGUGUGAUCAUUCUGAACUUUUUCUUCUGUGAGUUUUGUUUUUUCCUUAUAUCCGUAUCAGGAAUGGUUCCAAUCUUCUGUGGAGUGGAGUAGUUUGAGCAACAAUAUUAGUUUGCAAUUGGAGGAUUACUCUCGGUACUUUUUAAUAUGAUCUAUACUAGUAUUUCCAAUUUAAUUGGAUAUCUUUUUUCUUAACAGUGCUUUUGGAAUAUAUGUUUGAGUACUACGAUCUACAUGAAGCUGGGUAUUAACAAUCAUUUCUGGAAUAUAUAGCAUAAUUUCUUCUAACUACUAUCAGUUGCCUGCUCAAGAUAAACUAAUUUCCUCUACUAUUAUUUAACUUCGCUGGAGUUGGUAACCGAACAUUUGGAUUGAAUUGUGUUUUCUUUCGCUGCAGCAGUUUUGUAUUAAUUUUGUGUACUGGGUGUGGAAAUUUUAGAAGACAAGUUCCGAGAGUUAUUGGCGUGGAAACUUUAGCAGGAGACCCUCUGAGCUCUAGGUUUUGUUACCAUUACAUUUUCUGAUGCGUUUUUUUUUUGCAAGGAUAUCUAUUUUGAAUUUGCGCGUCGAAAUAAGAUUGUUCGAGUAUUAAAAUCCUAAAUUUGUUUUUUUGGGAUUUGAUCACCUAACAUACAUGAUCACUGAAUUGUCAUUUGUUCCACCAUUUAUCUCAUCGAGCAUGCUGAAAGAUGACAUCUCCUUUUGAUGCUGUUUCCUUUUUGUUUUGAAGUUGUCUUAUUGUUUCUAUUCUUAGUCUUUUGAUUAGUGAAAUCUAUCAAAUCUAGCUGUUUGAUCUGUGAUUAUGUUCAUUCCUUUUCAGGUUAAAAAAUAAUUCUAAUGUUGAGGGGUAAUAUAAUUUUUUGGAUGAGUUUCCUUUCUGUCAUUUAAUAUCUUUGGACUGGAUCAUCAAAUAUAAGGAUUCAAUUGUGAUUUGUUUUCCGCAGCAAUGUUUGGUGGAUUUGUUUCGUGUAACAUUCCUCUCAUCGAGGAAAUCUUACAAGUGAAGACAUCUCCCUCUGAUUUUUCUACUUUGUAGUUUUCUUCAAUUUUUGGGCCUUACGGGGAAGACAACCAACUGAUAUGUGAGCUAGGAUGUGGAAGCCAGGGGAUCUGUGAUGCUUUAGGUUUUGUUACCCUUGCUUUUCUUAUGUCUUAAUCUUUGACUAGUUAAACUUAUGAUGCUUUAAUUUAAAGUCUUGUGUGAUUUAAUUUUGUAAAAGGGAAAGAGAAGAUAUGAGGGAAACAAAAUAUCAUGGCCAUUACAGUUUUGUCUCGAAGCUAUUUUUAAUUUAGACCUGCCGUUUCUCGAAGCUAUUUUUCUCAUCGCAAAAUUUAAUCCUCUUACUUUGCUUUCUUUUGUAUUUUCAUUUAUUGUUUAUGAAUAUCAGACUAUAACAAUAGUAAGUCACCUUAAUUGUCAGAUUUGCCUCUCUGAAUUGCUCAAUCGUAAUCCCUUGCUGUUUUUAAACAGCACUGUUUUGGAAUAGGAUUUGUUUGAGCGUGUUAUCAUCUACAUGAAGCUGGAACGUGAAACGGCAACUGCUCAAGAUAACCUUCUACGAGUUCGCCGGACUUGAUCAUCUAACAUUAGGAUUGUAUUCCUCUCUAUUAUUAUGUUUCUCUGCACUCGAUCACCGAACAUAAAGUUAUAAAUAAUUUGCGCCUAUUAACAUUUAUUUGUUUUUAUUUCUUUUACCCUUUUGGGAUCUUUUUUUUUGUACUACAGUGAUCCUCCUUUAAAUUGACAUAAAAUGGUGGUUGAAUAUAGAAAGAAAAACUCUUGCUAUGGAUAGGUCUGCAUCUUUGGAAGGUUAAAUUUCUUAUGCCGUAUUCCAAAUUCUAUUAAAAUUUCUCUCAAUG
Molecule: long non-coding RNA, 13084 nt
Filed under: Phaseolus vulgaris (common bean)
Lineage: Eukaryota; Viridiplantae; Streptophyta; Magnoliopsida; Fabales; Fabaceae
Description: long non-coding RNA (PVUL_LNC004802)
Source: RNAcentral